RNAcentral lists this long non-coding RNA (319 nucleotides) under Ricinus communis (castor bean). RNAcentral describes it as "long non-coding RNA (RCOM_LNC003655)". The record is from RNAcentral. Lineage: Eukaryota; Viridiplantae; Streptophyta; Magnoliopsida; Malpighiales; Euphorbiaceae.
UGGACUGACCUUAGUAGUAUCUAUAAAACUAAUUAGAUAUGCUUCACAUCCAUUUUUAAUUAACUGACACGCAGUCACUACUGAAAUCAAACAAUUAGGAAUUGUCUUCCUUUCACCCACCAUUACUAUUUUCAUUUCUCCUUGUAUUUCCAUAGCCACUUCCUUCGUUUUACAAUCAACAAUAGCAUGAUUUCUUGACAACCAAUCCAUCCCCAAAAUAACAUCAAACUCUCUAAGAUUAAUAAUAACCAAAUCUGCAUGUAGUUUGACACUAUCUACUACUACAGGACAUGAUCUCACUAUCGUAUUUACUGUGAUA